This 2542-nucleotide long non-coding RNA is filed under the name Olea europaea subsp. europaea. The record is from RNAcentral. Lineage: Eukaryota; Viridiplantae; Streptophyta; Magnoliopsida; Lamiales; Oleaceae.
AUUUAAUUUAUAAAUUGAUAGAAAUAAGUGAUAGAUAGGUAAAUAAUACAUGUGAAUCCUUUGAAAUGUGUUGUUGAAAAUGAAAUUUUAUUACUUAUAAAUCAUUUUAAGGCGAAUGGUGGCUAACCAACCAAUUUUCCAUUUAUGCAGAUCGAACUUGUAUAAUUGGGGCUCAUUUAUUAGAUUGUUUUGGUACCAUCUACUAUGCUCUUGUAGUGGGGAUUAAAAUUAAAUUUUUAGUAAAAUUUUUAUAGUAGUUGAUUAAAUGCAUGGUUAAAAAGUUGUGGGUUCUAUGAAAUAUAUAGUUAAAAUUAAUUGUUUACUUUGAUUUAUAUUGAAAAUUAGAUUUUAGUUCCUACCAAACAGGUUUUUAUAAAUCAUAUUGAGUGACUUUGAGUGAAAUUUUCCCACAAUUGUUUAUCAUAUUUUAGACAUCUGGAUCAUUUUUAGGCUGUAUAAAGCAAUCAGUGCUCCACUUUCUUAGCUAAAUGUAGAGCUUGUUCCACCUUUCUUAUUUGAUCUUCAGUUCUCAAAAUUCAUAUGGAAGCUAAUAGAUAGUGAACAUGUUCAUCUGUGCUGAAAAGUUACUUUAUUUUUCAGCAAGUAUUUGUUAGUAAAAGAUUCAUAUAAUCAAGUUUAACUUAUUUUUAAGUAUAAAUAUACUUAUAAUGGCAAAUCAAUUCCAAAUAAGAAACUUUUUCUAUCUUCUAAAGUUUUAAAAUUAUAUUAGUAUAUUAUUAAUUGUUUAGAUCUUAUGCAGGCAUUUUUAAGGGUUGCAAAAGAUCUUUAUGCUAUUGUGAUUGCACCCAGAGAGAGUCAAGAGAGCCGGUUUGGCCUAUACUCGUACUUCAUGUUUUAAUUAAUUCUAUCAUUACAUGUUUUACUUCAACUUUGAUGCUUGAAUUAAAGUGUUUCGAUGCUAUCUUCUUUCAUAAAUGAGUAAGAACGUGAAAUUAGUUUCACUUCCUACGUUAAUUUGCAUCAUCUUUAUGAUGCACUGGGGCUCAAGCUCCACAGUGUUGGUUAAACUUAGUUAAGCGUUUUUAAGUAUAAAACACAAAGGAAAAUUAUAUAGGAUUAUCAAAAAUAAAUGACUAAUGCCAUUAAUAACAAUAAACUAAUUUUUUAAAAACGAAGUCACGUAUUCAAUAACUUUUGACAUAAAAGAAAAAGUACUUCGAUCAUAAUUACUUAAAUCCAUUAGCCAAAAAAAUAAAUGAAUAAAUAAAUAAAUAUCCCAUCAAUUAGUUUUCACACUUGAUCUGAUUUGGGAUCAUUCCAACACAAGCCAACAAUAGAGCUUCCAGACUAACUUUUGAUGCUUGCAGCGUCAUUCCUUCCUUCCACUUAUCAAUUAUUUCCUUUAGAGUCACAUCGACAAUCAAAUUUGAAAUCGUUAUAUUCAAUCCUCUUUUUGGACGGACAUUUUCCUUAUUAUUCUCAAACUUAACCAAUCAUUCAAGACUUGCUAUCCUUUUUAUAUGUCAUCCCACUUUUUAUUGUUACUCAUUCGCAAUCUUUUACAUCAACAAACAACGGAAUUUAUCAUAUAAGAGCUCCAUGUAUUCAGCAGUCUGUGGCAAACUAAUAAAGGGACCAGUAUUCCAACUUUCGUAGUCAUUUUUGCCUCCACUCUUUCUGCUUUCUAAAUUACCCGAUAAUUGUAGAUUCACUAAAAAAAUUUCAUCAUUAGUGGAAUACAAAUCUAUAUUCAUUUGUUCAUAAUUAAACAUGUCUUACUUGUUGUUAUGUAAACAAGUUAAUCUAUUAUAAAGCACAUUAUUUCUAUACAUAUCGUAUAAUAAAUGUUUCAACAUCUUUUCUCUCUUAAACCUUAUGAUUAUUUUUAGUUCCGGUUGCUAGCUUCUUCUUCGAAGUAUUAAAUCAUUUAUUGUUCUGAUGGAUCCUUCGACAAUGUCUAUUGAUUGAGAAUCUGCUGUUCUUAAAUAUGAUACCAUUCUUCCAAGCAGAAGUGAGGCAUACAAUGCAUUCAUUCACCAACAACGAAAUCAAAGACAAAGGGAUUGGAGAAAUCGAGUCAAAGCUGGACGAAUUGAUUCUCGAGAAAGGGUAACUGACACAGUAUUAUCCGAAAAUACUAAUUUCAGUUCUGCCCAUGUGAAUGAAGCAGUAAUAUGUCAUGAUUUCGAGGCUUCUACUUCGAACCAAGAAGCGACUGAUGUUUCUAAAUGUGUAAAACUUAUGAACAUACCAAAUACUGCAUAUGUAUUACUGACAUGUACCUAUUGUAAAUAUUGUGGUGCAUGAAAAUUUCAUAGAGAAAGUAAAAGUUUUUGUUGCUCAAAUGGAAAAGUUAAACUUUGUAUGCUUGAUUCACCCGCUGAACUAUAUACUUUGUUUACUUCUAAAGAAUACAGGUGUAUGGAAUUUAAGAAAAUUUCGAGAGGGUAUAAUAAUCACUUUGCAUUCACUUCUUUUGUUGUAAAGUAUGACAAAGAACUCUUGAAAGCCAUAUAAAGGUAUUUACACAUUUAGGGUUCAAGGACAAUUAUAUCAUUAUGUAAACCAACUUAUGUUAGAG